AUUCACUGACGAGUCCCAAAUAGAACGAAACGUGCAUUGUCCUGGAU
Molecule: non-coding RNA, 47 nt
Filed under: Schistosoma mansoni
Lineage: Eukaryota; Metazoa; Platyhelminthes; Trematoda; Strigeidida; Schistosomatidae
Source: RNAcentral